GCAGUAAGACAAAGGAUGAUGAAUAAUGAAGGGACGGGGGAUUACAAGGGCAAGAUGGAAAUUCAGGUGAUUGUGAAGUCAAUGGUGGUGAAUGAAAGAACAAGGAUAUGCUUUAAACUGGGAUUCAUCAUAGGGUCACAAAAUUAAAUGGCUAUAUGAGUUAGCCAGGCAAUGAAAAUCAGUGAAAUGGUCCAGAUGGAACACGACAAUGAGCAAUGUGGCCUGGAAAUCAGAUGGCCAGAAGAGAGGUGGCAGCUCCACCUUGAACCCCUGUGAGUACUGAUGUAUGCAAUGUGCAUCCAAACUUUUCCUGAUUUUUAAGAGAAGUCAGAAUUUUGAAUGCCGAUAUAAAGUCUGUUUGCAUAUAAAUCCAGGAAACCAAGGCAAUCGAAUUUUUGAAGAAUACAGCAGGAAGGGUCAUAAUCAUCUGCAGUUUUCAUCUGGAUCACCAGCUGUCAUUCUGCGUAUCCUACUUACCUCAAGGGGCAACUUCAGUCUUGAAAACAGAACAUCAUAAGAUGUUGGUGCCACUUGAUCCAACUGGAAAAUACCAGCAUUUACAUUUUUAUUUUACAGAUGCAGAAAGCAGUAUUUAACUGACUGGCUGUCACUCACAUCAUGAGUCAGAAGCAGCCUUAAAAGAAUGGAUCCCUUCUGCUAUUUAAAAAUAUAAUCUUGGGUCUAAUGAUUGAAAUUACAUGUUUGGAUCAUUGAGGAAUAAUGAAAUACUUUGGACUUGAGCUAUGUGGGUAAAUGAUUGAAUGAUGCAAAGGAACUUUGGUUGUGGAGCCUGUGUACAGAGACAGCGCAGGGAAUGUCCAGUAAUACUAUUGUUACCUUAGAUUCUAUGUUAUGCAUUGAAAUAAUCAUGGUUCCAUGGUUGUAUUUAGUAAGUCACUUUAGAAAGCAACAGUUUUGAAAUAAGAAGCUCUGGAAAUGCCAGGCUAGAGCUUUGUUGUGGCCACUAGGUACAGGGGACAGGAAGGAAGGAAAAGUGAACAGAAAGAGUGGAGGAAACACCGCAUGUGGCACAGUUCCAGAAGUCCCUAUGCUUGCCCUUGGGUAGAGGUGGCAUCUACCACUACUAACUCUUUUUUGGCUCUUCUGUUUCCUCUGAUUUUUAUAAAAUCAGCCUGAUAUAUUACUUCAUAACAGAGUUAUGAAAAAAGAUCUUUGGAAUCCCAACCUUUGAAGCUCUACCCUCCCUUUACUCUAAAGGUCAGUCAAGGGCGUACAUAGAGAUUUCUGACAAAAUAUUAAUAGAAUGUGAAUUGUUGCUAGAGUCGGAUUAAUUAAGCCAUAUGAUAGAGCUUCACUAAAUUUCUUAAGGUCAGGAGUGAGGGCUUUGUUAAAGAAAAUAUUUUAAAGUAGCCUCAGUAGCAUAUUAGAAAAUGUGAUGAAUUUGGAGGUUGUGGUCAUAAAUUUGACUUGGAACUCUGCCAUUUUUUACCAACUGGGUGAUAUACAGCAAGUCACAUAGCUUCUUGUGCUCUUUGAUAACUAUGUAUCUUCAGAUGCAUAUGUCAUGAGUUUUUGUGAUUGUUUCUAAAAUAUCUUUUUUCUUUUAUGAAAAUAAAUCUAUGCUUAUUAUUAAGAAUAGAUAACUUCAUUAUCUAAUGUGAACUAUUGUAUUAGAAUGACUACUAUAAAGAACAAUGCCAUAUUUCAGAUACUUUAAGGAAUUUUUAUAUAAAAAUAUAAAAAUCUAAUAGAGAAAUGAACUCACAAUAAAAGUCAGUCUACAAUAAAUAAAUCAUAUAAUAUUAUUCCAGACAAUGAAUUAUUGAAGUGAUUGAAUGAAACAAAAUAACUUCUAAAAUAGUUAAUAUUCUUUAACAAUUUUACACCAUAUUCCCAUAAAACGUAAGCUGUACUUCUUACAAAAAGCAUAACUUAAAAAAUUCUAAAUUUGAAAUAAGUUCAAAUUUACAAAAGGAAAACAAAGAAGUUGCAAACAUAAUAUGUUGAUUUCCCAUAUACACUUUACUUCUCCAAAUGUUGUCUUACACAGACACAGUACAAUUUAUCAAAAUCAGAUCAUUAAUGUAUCCAAUACUAUUAACUGAUUUUUCAGAUUCUACUCACAAUGUUCUAAUUGUCCCAUUCAUAUCCUCUUUCUAGUCCAGUAUCCAAUUAAGGAUCUUAUAUUGCUGUAAGUUUCAUGUCUCCUUAGGCACAUACAAUGAAAAGAAUUUCUUAAUCUUUCUUUGUCUUUAUGUCACUUUAUCUUUCAAGAGUACUGGCCAGUUAUUUUUUAGAAUUUUUCUCCAUUUGGCUUUGUUUGAGAAUUGCUGUGAUUUGAUUGAGGUAUUGCUGGCCAGAAUAUCCCUGGUGUGAAUGUUGUGUCUUUCCUGGCACAUCAUAUUAGGAGGUACAUGAAGUCAACAUGCCUCAUUCUGGUUACUUUAACUUUGAUCUCUUGGUUAAGGUAACUUUAAUUUUUAACCGUGUAAAAUAAAUGAAAAUUAUCAACAUUUCAGUCUUCUUUAAAAAAAAUUUAGCAGUACAUAUAACUCCUAAUUAGGUGCUAUCUGAAAUUGAGCCUAAUAUAAAGUAUAAUAAUUGACCCUCACUAGACAGGGGAUUCUAAUAAAAUAUCAUUAUACAUUUUGGUAAGCUUAUUAAAACUUAAUAAUAGUAUAAAAUAAAAACAUUAAUUCUUUCUAUACUUUGAUACUUUUGUUACUAUUUACAUGGAGAUAAAAAUAGUCUUAGCUACAUUAUGGAGAAAUCUAAAUUUAAUUUAUAAAGUUUAAUAUAGCUUUAGUAAAAGAAUAUUGUGACACAUGAGAAGUAUUUGAGCAAAAAUUUUCUUUGCUAAUUUUGCUUUUUAAGAUUGUUUCAGAGCUGUGAUAUCCAUUUCACUAUUAAAAUGUGGCUUAUGACUAGUAAUUUCUUAGGUGUUCUGUAACACAUCUGUAAAGGUUAAGUGACAUUUUCUUCCAUCUUCUUUGAUUCUACUAGUGUCUCUGAUGAUUUUCCCCAAAUCAUAAAGCAGGCUUUCAGACAUUUUCAGGACAUUGAUACAAUGCCCCUUAAAGGUGUUUCCUUGGGUUUUGAUUUGCAGCUGCUUCAUAGACUCCUGAGGGCUAUGUCCCAUUUCCCCAGGGAGAGUAUCUCCUCAUCUUGCAGUUGGAGAGAUGUUACUUCUUAUAUUUAGAGAUGAAAACAGUAAAAUAGAGGUUUGUCUUUAAAGGGAAGCAUUCACAGCUCAUUUUAAUGCUUGGCCUUUCAAGACAAGAUAAGAAGCUAAAUAAAACAUUUUUCUAUAACAAC
Sapajus apella (tufted capuchin) is the source of this 3276-nucleotide long non-coding RNA. RefSeq lists it as uncharacterized. The record is from RefSeq and is a predicted model, not a curated record. The transcript has 2 exons. NCBI's taxonomy places the organism in Eukaryota, Metazoa, Chordata, Mammalia, Primates, Cebidae.